UGCUUACACAUGCAAGUCGAACGAGACCUUCGGGUCUAGUGGCGCACGGGUGCGUAACGCGUGGGAAUCUGCCCUUAGGUACGGAAUAACUCAGAGAAAUUUGUGCUAAUACCGUAUGAUGUCGAAAGACCAAAGAUUUAUCGCCUAAGGAUGAGCCCGCGUAAGAUUAGCUUGUUGGUGAGGUAAAAGCUCACCAAGGCGACGAUCUUUAGCUGGUCUGAGAGGAUGAUCAGCCACACUGGGACUGAGACACGGCCCAGACUCCUACGGGAGGCAGCAGUGGGGAAUAUUGGACAAUGGGCGAAAGCCUGAUCCAGCAAUGCCGCGUGAGUGAUGAAGGCCUUAGGGUUGUAAAGCUCUUUUACCAGGGAUGAUAAUGACAGUACCUGGAGAAUAAGCUCCGGCUAACUCCGUGCCAGCAGCCGCGGUAAUACGGAGGGAGCUAGCGUUGUUCGGAAUUACUGGGCGUAAAGAGUACGUAGGCGGUGAUUCAAGUCAGAGGUGAAAGCCUGGAGCUCAACUCCAGAACUGCCUUUGAAACUAGAUCGCUAGAAUUGUGGAGAGGUUAGUGGAAUUCCGAGUGUAGAGGUGAAAUUCGUAGAUAUUCGGAAGAACACCAGUGGCGAAGGCGACUAACUGGACACAUAUUGACGCUGAGGUACGAAAGCGUGGGGAGCAAACAGGAUUAGAUACCCUGGUAGUCCACGCCGUAAACGAUGAUAACUAGCUGUUCGGGGUCUACGAUCCUGAGUGGCGCAGCUAACGCAUUAAGUUAUCCGCCUGGGGAGUACGGUCGCAAGAUUAAAACUCAAAGGAAUUGACGGGGGCCUGCACAAGCGGUGGAGCAUGUGGUUUAAUUCGAAAGCACGCGCAGAACCUUACCAGCGUUUGACAUCCUAAUCGCGGUUUUCAGAGAUGAU
RNAcentral lists this ribosomal RNA (920 nucleotides) under uncultured Sphingomonadaceae bacterium. Its description in RNAcentral is "bacterial SSU rRNA". It matches the Rfam family "Bacterial small subunit ribosomal RNA", at positions 45 to 1010 of the family's 1533-position model. The record is from RNAcentral. Lineage: Bacteria; Pseudomonadati; Pseudomonadota; Alphaproteobacteria; Sphingomonadales; Sphingomonadaceae.